This 207-nucleotide unclassified non-coding RNA is filed under the name plant metagenome. RNAcentral's name for it is "partial contains small subunit ribosomal RNA, internal transcribed spacer 1, and 5.8S ribosomal RNA". The record is from RNAcentral.
UUUCCGUAGGUGAACCUGCGGAAGGAUCAUUCAUAAUAAGUGUUUUAUGGCACUUUUUUAAAUCCAUAUCCACCUUGUGUGCAAUGUCAGGGUUGGUCUCUUAUGAUCAGCCCCAAACAUCAACUAUUAUCUCAACUCUUUGUCUGGAAAAUAUUAUGAAUAAAACAAUUCAAAAUACAACUUUCAACAACGGAUCUCUUGGCUCUC